CCUACGGGUGGCAGCAGUGAGGAAUAUUGGUCAAUGGACGAGAGUCUGAACCAGCCAAGUAGCGUGAAGGAUGACUGCCCUAUGGGUUGUAAACUUCUUUUAUAUGGGAAUAAAAUGCUCCACGUGUGGGAUUUUGUAUGUACCAUAUGAAUAAGGAUCGGCUAACUCCGUGCCAGCAGCCGCGGUAAUACGGAGGAUCCGAUCGUUAUCCGGAUUUAUUGGGUUUAAAGGGAGCGUAGGUGGUUUGUUAAGUCAGUUGUGAAAGUUUUCGGCUCAACCGUAAAAUUGCAGUUGAAACUGGCAGUCUGGAGUGGAGUGGAGGUGGGCGGAAUGCGUGGUGUAGCGGUGAAAUGCUUAGAUAUCACGAAGAACCCCGAUUGCGAAGGCAGUUCACUGGACUGCAACUGACACUGAGGCUCGAAAGUGUGGGUAUCAAACAGGAUUAGAUACCCUAGUAGUC
RNAcentral lists this ribosomal RNA (460 nucleotides) under uncultured bacterium. RNAcentral describes it as "partial 16S ribosomal RNA". It matches the Rfam family "Bacterial small subunit ribosomal RNA", at positions 338 to 795 of the family's 1533-position model. The record is from RNAcentral.